Molecule: small nuclear RNA, 164 nt
Organism: Echinops telfairi (small Madagascar hedgehog)
Lineage: Eukaryota; Metazoa; Chordata; Mammalia; Afrosoricida; Tenrecidae
Product: U1 spliceosomal RNA
Exons: 1
Source: RefSeq, a predicted model, not a curated record
AUACUUACCUGGCAGGAGAGAUACUAUGAUCACGAAGGUGGUUUUCCCAGGGCGAGGCUUAUCCAUUGCACUGCGGAUGUGCGAACCCCUGUGAUUUCCCCAAAUGCGGGAAACUCGUCUGCAUAAAUUGUGGUAGUGAGGGACUGCCUUCUCACUCUCCUCUG